AAAAGCCCUUCAUGCGGGACAGUCCCGCAAGUCACGGGAUGAGUGGUCAUCCUACAUGCACCAACACCAUUUAUAAUUUCCACAAUGAAGCACGUGCUCCUGUAAGAUUUCAGGCAGCAGCUAUUAUACAUGCCAGAAAAAUGCUGUGGUUCUUUAGUUCAGUACUAAAAUAAGCAAGCGUUGAUUAUUUCAUAAUAAGCAUUAAAUGCUUUCACAUCAUAAUGCUUCCCAAAUAUGCCAAGUUCAUCUUUUCAUGCAAAUGCCUCCUUGCAGGUAAAUUUAACAUGUUUCAAUGUGUCUUUUGCAAGCAGAUUCACCUGCCUUCCAGAAACUGAGAUCAAUAUUGGAAAGCCCUCGCUUGCUGAGCGAUUUGCACCACCUUUCACCUGCAGCACAAACAUGCUCGUUGGAGUCGUUCAACAGCUUGUUGAUUCGCUUUGCACCUAAAUCUGUGGCCUACUCACCAGAUGGCAUGAAAGCAAGGACUCAACUAGCUGUUCUACACCACAAUGAGAAUGCUACAAGGCAUCAGGCUCGCACCAGGAAAGGAUCUUUGCAGUGGAAGUAAAGCUCAGCAAAGCAAGAAAGGGGCACUUUACUGUUUCCCCAUACAAGGGAUUGCCAACCUAUGGGUAUGUUGACGAGCUCAUCACAGCUGUGAUCAUGAAGUGUGAGGCCAGCUCACACCGGAGCAGCCUUGCCAGCAGCUCAUCGGGGCCACCCCUGCACAUGACGGAUGAAUUUGAAAGACCAGCGAAGGAACAACUUAU
This is a long non-coding RNA of Rhipicephalus sanguineus (brown dog tick), 770 nucleotides long. RefSeq lists it as uncharacterized. NCBI's taxonomy places the organism in Eukaryota, Metazoa, Arthropoda, Arachnida, Ixodida, Ixodidae. The record is from RefSeq and is a predicted model, not a curated record. The transcript is spliced from 3 exons.